This 90-nucleotide transfer RNA is filed under the name Xenorhabdus budapestensis. RNAcentral's name for it is "tRNA-Ser". It matches the Rfam family "tRNA". Rfam says of the family: Transfer RNA (tRNA) molecules are approximately 80 nucleotides in length. The record is from RNAcentral. Lineage: Bacteria; Pseudomonadati; Pseudomonadota; Gammaproteobacteria; Enterobacterales; Morganellaceae.
GGUGAGGUGUCCGAGUGGUUGAAGGAGCACGCCUGGAAAGUGUGUAUACGCAAAAGCGUAUCGAGGGUUCGAAUCCCUCCCUCACCGCCA